UACGUAGGGUGCAAGCAUUAAUCGGAAUUACUGGGCGUAAAGCGUGCGCAGGCGGUUGUGCAAGACAGAUGUGAAAUCCCCGGGCUCAACCUGGGAAUUGCAUUUGUGACUGUACGGCUAGAGUGUGUCAGAGGGGGGUAGAAUUCCACGUGUAGCAGUGAAAUGCGUAGAGAUGUGGAGGAAUACCGAUGGCGAAGGCAGCCCCCUGGGAUAACACUGACGCUCAUGCACGAAAGCGUGGGGAGCAAACAGG
RNAcentral lists this ribosomal RNA (253 nucleotides) under uncultured bacterium. RNAcentral describes it as "partial 16S ribosomal RNA". It matches the Rfam family "Bacterial small subunit ribosomal RNA", at positions 524 to 776 of the family's 1533-position model. The record is from RNAcentral.